CAUGGUUCGAAAUUGAAAGGCGGCUUCGGCUGUCACUUAUGGAUGGACCCGCGUCGCAUUAGCUAGUUGGUGAGGUAACGGCUCACCAAGGCAACGAUGCGUAGCCGACCUGAGAGGGUGAUCGGCCACACUGGGACUGAGACACGGCCCAGACUCCUACGGGAGGCAGCAGUAGGGAAUCUUCCGCAAUGGACGAAAGUCUGACGGAGCAACGCCGCGUGAGUGAUGAAGGCUUUCGGGUCGUAAAACUCUGUUGUUAGGGAAGAACAAGUGCUAGUUGAAUAAGCUGGCACCUUGACGGUACCUAACCAGAAAGCCACGGCUAACUACGUGCCAGCAGCCGCGGUAAUACGUAGGUGGCAAGCGUUAUCCGGAAUUAUUGGGCGUAAAGCGCGCGCAGGUGGUUUCUUAAGUCUGAUGUGAAAGCCCACGGCUCAACCGUGGAGGGUCAUUGGAAACUGGGAGACUUGAGUGCAGAAGAGGAAAGUGGAAUUCCAUGUGUAGCGGUGAAAUGCGUAGAGAUAUGGAGGAACACCAGUGGCGAAGGCGACUUUCUGGUCUGUAACUGACACUG
RNAcentral lists this ribosomal RNA (574 nucleotides) under Bacillus thuringiensis. Its description in RNAcentral is "bacterial SSU rRNA". It matches the Rfam family "Bacterial small subunit ribosomal RNA", at positions 188 to 748 of the family's 1533-position model. The record is from RNAcentral. Lineage: Bacteria; Bacillati; Bacillota; Bacilli; Caryophanales; Bacillaceae.